Pelmatolapia mariae (spotted tilapia) is the source of this 339-nucleotide long non-coding RNA. RefSeq lists it as uncharacterized. The transcript has 3 exons. NCBI's taxonomy places the organism in Eukaryota, Metazoa, Chordata, Actinopteri, Cichliformes, Cichlidae. The record is from RefSeq and is a predicted model, not a curated record.
AAAAAACACUUUCUCAUGGACGGUGACAGCGAAACGGAUAGCAGUCUUCAGUACCUGCUGGUCUUUGAAGCUCUGGAUUCUGGGACUGUUGGAAAAGCUCCAACAAAAUGAGGAAGAGGAGGGAGAAACACAAUUAGAUUGAAUUACAAUUGGAUGGAAGUCGAGGACAAGGAGAAGGAAGCUUAGGAUGAGGAGGAAGAGAAGCAGCAGGAGCAUCUUUAGGGAUCUCUAUGAUGUCAUUGAGAGGCGGCGGCGAGAGGCGGGACCUCGACUCAUCCAGCUGGACAGCCUGACCAGGAGGAGUCGAACAUUAACUCUGCUCUUCCAGGGCACCCUGCA